UCGGACGUGGUGUAUGGUGCAUGGCCCUAGACUCUGGUGAAUUAUUUGGGUGUUUACAUAAAGGGCGGGACGGGGUUCGAUUCCCCGCGUUCGAA
This is a non-coding RNA of Mycena latifolia, 95 nucleotides long. The record is from the annotation of a GenBank genome assembly. NCBI's taxonomy places the organism in Eukaryota, Fungi, Basidiomycota, Agaricomycetes, Agaricales, Mycenaceae.